This 468-nucleotide ribosomal RNA is filed under the name uncultured bacterium. RNAcentral describes it as "bacterial SSU rRNA". It matches the Rfam family "Bacterial small subunit ribosomal RNA", at positions 335 to 799 of the family's 1533-position model. The record is from RNAcentral.
ACUCCUACGGGAGGCAGCAGUGAGGAAUAUUGGACAAUGGGGGCAACCCUGAUCCAGCCAUGCCGCGUGCAGGAAGACUGCCCUAUGGGUUGUAAACUGCUUUUGUACAGGAAGAAACAUUCCCUCGUGAGGGAGCUUGACGGUACUGUAAGAAUAAGGAUCGGCUAACUCCGUGCCAGCAGCCGCGGUAAUACGGAGGGUCCGAGCGUUAUCCGGAAUUAUUGGGUUUAAAGGGUCCGUAGGCGGGCCGGUAAGUCAGGGGUGAAAGUCUGUAGCUCAACUAUAGAACUGCCUUUGAUACUGCCGGUCUUGAGUCACGGUGAAGUUGCCGGAAUAUGUGGUGUAGCGGUGAAAUGCAUAGAUAUCACAUAGAACACCGAUUGCGAAGGCAGGUGACUAACCGUGUACUGACGCUGAUGGACGAAAGCGUGGGGAGCGAACAGGAUUAGAUACCCUGGUAGGAUAGCG